CGAUACUCCAGGCGUAGGGGAUUGUGACAAGCUCAAUGAAAUUCUAGAGGAGUAUCUGCCUUAUGCUGUGGCUUUUGUAUUUGUUGUAAAUCCAGCUAGCGGAGGGGGGAUGCAAAAAGACAGGAUAUUAAAAGUCAUGAAGAGUAUAAAGGCGAAAGCGGAUACGAUGAUAUGCUUUGAUCCUGCUGAUGUUAUUUUCCUAGUUAAUAAAUGGGAUGCAAUGUUUGACAAAAAAAAGGAGGACUACUGAAAAACAGUGGCAUGAUGUUGUUGAUAAGAUAAAGAACUCUUGGCCAAAAGUGAAUAUUGACAACAUUAUACAGAUGUCUGUCAGACUGGUGACCGAGGAAGAUCAGAAGUAUAGUAAUAAUUUUUCAUGUUUUGAAAAACUCCUGCAUUUCCUCGUUGAUAAAAACAUCAACAAAAGAAUAGAAAAUAAUCACAGAUUUCUGGCAGAAAUUUUAUCUAAAUUAGAGAUGUUUAUAAACUCAAGAAUUUCUGCGGCAAGCAAAUCUUUGCCCGAUUUAAAAACUGAUUCAGAGCAGUGUCUUAGAAGAUUGGAAG
Molecule: long non-coding RNA, 564 nt
Organism: Saccostrea echinata
Lineage: Eukaryota; Metazoa; Mollusca; Bivalvia; Ostreida; Ostreidae
Exons: 4
Source: RefSeq, a predicted model, not a curated record